Molecule: ribosomal RNA, 810 nt
Filed under: uncultured organism
Description: bacterial SSU rRNA
Rfam family: Bacterial small subunit ribosomal RNA
Source: RNAcentral
CUACGUGCCAGCAGCCGCGGUAAGACGUAGGACGCGAGCGUUAUCCGGAUUUACUGGGCGUAAAGCGUGUGUAGGCGGCGUGACAAGUUGGGCGUGAAAGCCCCGUGCUCAACGCGGGGAGGCCGCACAAUACUGUCAGGCUAGAGGGCAUCAGAGGGGUGUGGAAUUCCCGGAGUAGCGGUAAAAUGCGCAGAUAUCGGGAGGAACACCGGUGGCGAAAGCGGCACCCUGGGGUGCACCUGACGCUGAGAGACGACAGCUAGGGGAGCGAACAGGAUUAGAGACCCUGGUAGUCCUAGCCGUAAACGAUGGAUGCUAGGUGUGGGAGUGAAGAACUUCUGUGCCGCAGCGAACGCGAUAAGCAUCCCGCCUGGGGAGUACGGCCGCAAGGUUAAAACUCAAACGAAUUGACGGGGACCCGCACAAGCAGCGGAGCGUGUGGUUUAAUUCGAUGCUACACGAAGAACCUUACCUGGGAUUGACAUAUGGGUGGUAGUGAGCCGAAAGGCAAGCGACCCUUCGGGGAGCCUAUACAGGUGCUGCAUGGCUGUCGUCAGCUCGUGCCGUGAGGUGUCGGGUUAAGUCCCGUAACGAGCGCAACCCCUGUCCUUAGUUACAAGUGUCUAAGGGGACUGCCGGCGGGAAGCCGGAGGAAGGUGGGGAUGACGUCAAGUCAGCAUGGCCCUUAUAUCCAGGGCGACACACACGCUACAAUGGUCGGUACAGAGGGCAGCGAAGCCGCGAGGUGGAGCGAAACCCAGAAAGCCGGUCGUAGUUCGGAUUGCAGGCUGCAACUCGCCUGCAUGAAGU